Molecule: RNA transcript, 1466 nt
Organism: Fragaria vesca subsp. vesca
Lineage: Eukaryota; Viridiplantae; Streptophyta; Magnoliopsida; Rosales; Rosaceae
Exons: 3
Source: RefSeq, a predicted model, not a curated record
AAGGCAAAAGCAUAAAUGAUUUGAGAGGUAGAAUAUAGAUUUGGAUUCGAGAUAGUCGACAGACGGCAGUUAUUGAUGUAUAUUGCAAAGUCGAUUACAUCGGGAAAUCUGGAAAUCUGAUCGGCAGUCUUCUGCUGAGCGACAGAGGUGUAGUUGUGGAUUUCCACGAACCACCGUUGGAUUCCCGACGAUUUUCUAAACCUUGGGUCAUCGUCGUACUUGAUUCGUACAAGAAGAAGGAUCUCUCAUUGAUCAAAAAGUAUGGGGCCGAGCGUUAGUUAGCAGAGGCUAGAUAUUAAAGCUUCCAGACCGGGAAGCAUGAAUUCUAUAUGUAAAUGCAUCCGCCAACGAUGAAAUCGAAUCCAAAUUGGGGGCCAAAACAUCCACAGAGCAUCAACUUGGCAUAUUGGCUCUGGUAUUGAACCCUGUCUGGAAACUAUAGCGUAGAGGCGGUAGAGCUACCCACCACCUAAUGUAUUGUUUGAUCCAACUCUGUAUAACUUCACAAUAUUGCUUGUUCUCCCUACUUAGCUUGUUGUUUGGUUGAUCAAGUAUCAACUGUAACAGCUUAUGAUGAUGAUCUCUUGAUAUUUGCUUUUUAAUGUUAUUGAAUGAUAGGAACUGAUUAUGCAAGAACUGAUGUUGUCAUUGAAUGCCGGGAAUUUUAGGAGCAGUUAAUGCUUUUGCACAUGUAAUGUUUUCAAUUUUUCAUGCUUCUGUUUUUUCCGCAUUAUUGAUUAUGAACGUCCUUCAAAUCGUGUUUUUUUGCUAUUGCCAUGUCAUUUACUGUUUUCUUUGAUAUGGUUAAUCCAGUAAAUAGCCCAUCUGCUAGGGUGGAGUGAAGGAAGUCUUGCCCUUUUUUUGCAAAUUGUCCAUUGUUUGGUUCGUCCGAAGAAGUGAAAGUCAUAGCAUUGAUUGCAUUUAAGAUAUUAUAUCUGAUAAGUAUAUGCAAUUGUAUAAUUUGUCCUCAAGUGUGCUUGUUAUUGAUAAUGUAUAAUACCAUAAGGCAACUGAAAUGUUUGUACAGAAAACCGAAGCGAAAGGAGUGCUUGUAGGACUCCAGCUUGUAUUGCAGUUUUAGGCUUUACUCGAUGGAGUUGAAGGACUUCAAAAUCUUGUUGUAAAUGUUGUUUACUUGCUCUUUUGAUACUUGAUGUGGACCCCUUGAUGAGUUGAAGAACUUUAGAAUCAUGUUGUCGAGUUGUUUGGUUGCUCUUCAGAUACUUGGUGAGGGUUGUUGAUGAACUAUGGCUGACUGGUUGAAUGCAUUUUGGCUUUUCCAGACUUAUACUUUACAAUCACUUAUUGUGACUCACUUAACAAUUUAUGAGUACCAACUAGCAAGCAUAAUUUUUUUUUAAAUAAUAAUAAUAAAAUCUAUCAAGCAUGGUGGAAUAAAAGGUUUGGUAAAUUGGAUUGUGACUCACUUAACAACUUAUGAGUAGCAACUACAAAGCAUAGUUAUU